This is a non-coding RNA of Phrynosoma platyrhinos (Desert horned lizard), 74 nucleotides long. Lineage: Eukaryota; Metazoa; Chordata; Lepidosauria; Squamata; Phrynosomatidae. The record is from the annotation of a GenBank genome assembly.
AACCAUCUGUGGCAUAGUGGCUUGUAUGUUGGACUGUGACUCUGGAGACCAGGGUUCGAUUCCCAGGUUGGCCA